This 365-nucleotide long non-coding RNA is filed under the name Mytilus galloprovincialis (Mediterranean mussel). The record is from RNAcentral. Lineage: Eukaryota; Metazoa; Mollusca; Bivalvia; Mytilida; Mytilidae.
UAUCAUAUUGAUAUUUCUUUUAUAAGAAUGUAGAAGAGAAAUUUGAAUAUGUUUCAAUAUUUUAUAAGUCACUUUAUUUGUAUAACAGUUAACAAGAUAGAAUAACUAAAUUUCAUUUACUGACAAACCUAAGCAGGUAGAUAUUUCAAUGGGACAAUGACAAUGAGAACCAAAUAAAUGGUGUUAAUAUGUUUAUAGUGCCAUUUGCAAUAUAUUUAUUUUGAUUGAUUCAUGUUUAUCAUAUAAUAAAAGGGAUUUUGUUGUUCAAGUAAUUAACAAAAAAGCUUCCUAUUUUUGUCAAGUUAUAGUUUUGGUUUAAUUAUACCCCAUGCAACGAAGUUGCGGAGGUAAUAAUGUUUUUGACC